Long non-coding RNA from Camelus dromedarius (Arabian camel), 3228 nucleotides. RefSeq lists it as uncharacterized. The transcript has 2 exons. The record is from RefSeq and is a predicted model, not a curated record. NCBI's taxonomy places the organism in Eukaryota, Metazoa, Chordata, Mammalia, Artiodactyla, Camelidae.
GCAGCGUGCCGGCCGCUGGGAUGCUGCGGCGCCGCCGCCGCCGCCACUGCCGGCCUCUCCGCUGCCGCGAGCGGGGAUCGGAGGGGCCGGGCGUGCGGGCGGGGGUCGGGGAUGACUUGGGAGCGGCGCUACCUGGGGACUGUGGUAAGGGUGGUCUUCCCAUCAGAGUUGCGCUAGAGGACGGAAAGUUUUUGCCUGCUCCCUUCCAGCGCGUCCCUCCCUCGCCAGUCCCGGUCGCCCACGGUGAGGCGCCCCCGCGGGGAUCUCCCUGCUUAGUUGGGGAGGAGCCGAGCAGCCCACCUCCUCCGAUGACCACCCCAAACCAGGGAGGGGACCCUGGUGACCUCUCCUCCCAGCCACCACUCCCUACACCCUUUCUUCUCUUUCACGGUGGACCUUGGGCUGUAGAGGAUUCUGCGGAUGCCUUUGGGAGCUGAAACCAAUGGGUAGAUGGAAGUGGUUCUAAAAAGCAGAGAAUGAACACCUAGCCCUCAUCAACUACUUUGCCAUCGUGGGCUUCUUCCAUCACGCCAACACCUGGCGAGGGUGUGGUGGGGCUGUGGGACCCGUCAUUGCUACGAGAGAAACCCAAGUCUUUUCACUUUCAACAUAUGAAGGGCAAAUUAUGUUAUUGGAUGAAUUGUGUUUGUAGAAUCAAGGGAAACAUAAGCUCUUUAUCUUAUGGAAGUAGUUCUCAUGCGAUAAUCAAGUAAUGUGCUCAUGUCUUAUUCUCUGAAUCCUUUACAGACCAUUGCUUUCCUAUUUUAAUGGAAAGGUUGAUCAGCACUGACAACCAUGCUGGAUAGCUUUUAUUACUCCCAGGUUAUAGAUGAUGAAAUUGAGGUGCAGAGAGGAUGUAAAAUAAAGCACGCCUCCCUCUCACUGAGGUUACCCCUGGCCAGGCUGCUGCAUUGGUUGUGCACUGCACAGUUGGGCCACUUUUAAGGGACUACCAUUCACAUCGCAGACAUCGUAGAUUUAUUGUAACAAUUUUCCUGGCAGAUGGCACAAAAGUGCCUUGUUAUAACAAAAUCAGGAAUAUGAAGACUAUCUUCUAACAGGUGGAAAUAAAGUUUCUUGAAGAAGCUGCGCCUUUUCCAAAAGCUCACUAAGGUGUUAGAUGAACUAGCAGAAGGAAGGGGGUUAUUGGUCUCUCUCUGUCUAUGUUAACAGCUCAACUGGGAGUUUUACUUUUUGCUUGAACAGGGGUCACCAUCCCUUGCUGACCAUGUGUGUAAUUGUAAAGUACUGUAGAAUGAUGUGGGUUACAAUGAAUGCAUUUGAGGUGGCAGAUUUCCCAAGAAGACUCCUGUGUAUGAGAAACACAGUGCUUUGGAUGGUAGAAAUGAAACGAUCUUGGUAACUCAGUUUGGUUGUUCACCCUUCAGCUACAGCUUAAGUCAUCCUAAACUUGGCUUGGAGGAAGAGACAUUGACACGUCUAUCAGUUUAACAAAUUUGGCAGCAGGAGGUCCAAAGAGUAUCGUCUCAAUUAUGGAUUGACCCACGAUUGAUUAGCAACCCUGUGCUGCCUAGUUUGUGAUCAAUGCCAAGUGAUGGCAGGUGCUGGACUCUUAGGGAGUGAGGGCAGAUGUUGGAGCAUUGAUCCCCAGGUGAGCUUCCUUGUUGGCCCUGUACAGGGAGAGUCAAAGUACAAGUAAAAUAUUGUAAGAUAGGAGUGAUAGUGUUGCAUGUGUUGACAGAGCCUGUCCGAGCUUUCAUCCUUUGCUCCCAAGGGACCAUCUUGAACAUGCAGACACUACUCUAUGACAGAACUAUUCUGUUCUGUCUUUGUUCUGAAUCUUCAUUGUGCCAUUUCACGGUGUUUUAAGGGGGGAAAGACAUCACCGGUUGCCUCACUUGAGAAGACUUUCAUUUUUUUACCUAUGCAAAUACCUUGGCAUUCAGAAACUUUGGCUAAUUGAAUAAUUGUCUCUUAUAAUGCUUUGCAAACACCCAAGGUGGGGUGAGAGGCGGAGUAUCUAAAGGAAUUACAACCCUCAUUUUAUGAUUAGAAUAAGAGAGGUUGAUGGACUGAUCCUGCCUGGCUAUGUGCCAGGUGAGUUGCUGUGUCCACAAGGCGCAUACAGUCUUGCUUCAGGGUGAUGCAUAAGCCAUCAAUCACUGGAAAACAGACUAGCCUGUGAGGAGGUGCUGAUCUGAUUUGCAGAUAAUAGAUGCUGUAGGUGUCUGAGCAGGACAGGUUACUGUGGUGGGCAGCGAAGGUGAAGGCAUGGGAGAGAGGAGGAAUUUGAACUGGGCCGCAAAAGACUGGAAGAUAUAAAUAGCCAGUGGGCAGAAGAGUGAUGGAUGGGAACAGUGACCAUCUUAAGUAAAGCACCUCAGGUCACGUAGUUGGUUUCCUCAAACAAAGCUCUUAGUGGAAAACAGGCAAGACACGUGGGGAUUUGGAAUCAGAAAGGGUUUCAAACUGCAACAUGAUGCUUCCAAGAUGAAAAUCUAUAGGGUGAGAUAAGAUGGGUAAUAAUACUGUGUGUUCUUAAUCAAAUGGCAUAUUUCUUUGAGAAAUACUAUUUAAUCAAGAACAAAUUUCUAAAAUUAGGACUCUAUGGAUCUGAAUGAGCUAAUUAGGUGAGAAACUUGAAAUUUUCCAGGCUCUUCAGCCAUCUGGCCGGCAUGUUGAGAAAUUGUACCCAGUUGUACUGAUAAGAGGGCAGUCUCUGUGUUUGUGGUUCACCUCUAACAUUCUAAUAGUGGGUCAUCUUCAAAGACAAGUUCAACAGACCUUCCAUUCUAAGUAGGCUGAUGAAAAGGCUGAGCUUGCCUAGGGAGUCCUGGGUUAUGCAAAGUUAUUAGUAGCUUCCCCUUUCAGUCUCUAAAGUGUCUUGUUUUGAUGAUAAAUUGUAUGGCCACCCUAAUUCUAAGUGAUCCAGUUUGGACUUUUUUUGCUUACUUUGGGAAUCCUCAUGGCCAAAAGGAUGCUUCCAGCUUAAGGGUAUUUGCCAAGAAGUGCAUUCUAUAUUUUUGAAAUGGUUGGGUUUUUUUUUCCCCUUGCAUAUAAAGCAAUCUUUGCAAAAAAUUCAGAUAUAAUAAGAUGAAUAUCAUAUAAAUAAGAUGAAUAUCAUAAACCCACAAAUAAGUGUUAAUAUUUUGAUAAAGAUGCAUAUCUCUAUCUAUUGAUCUGUCAUAUUUACAUAUUUCAGCUUGCCAAUCUCCAAACCAAGCCACUUGGAGGAGCAUUCCAUAUAUACGUAUCUAGAUAUGGCUA